UACAGAGGGGGCAAGCGUUAUUCGGAAUUAUUGGGCGUAAAGGGCGCGUAGGCGACUUUGCAAGUGGCGAGUGAAAUCCCUCGGCUUAACCGAGGAACUGCCUGUCAAACUGCAUGGCUUGAGACCAGGAGAGGUGAGUGGAAUUCCCAGUGUAGCGGUGAAAUGCGUAGAUAUUGGGAGGAACACCAGUGGCGAAGGCGGCUCACUGGACCGGUACUGACGCUGAUGCGCGAAAGCGUGGGGAGCAAACAGG
This 253-nucleotide ribosomal RNA is filed under the name uncultured bacterium. RNAcentral's name for it is "partial 16S ribosomal RNA". It matches the Rfam family "Bacterial small subunit ribosomal RNA", at positions 524 to 776 of the family's 1533-position model. The record is from RNAcentral.